GACAGAGGGGGCAAGCGUUGUCCGGAGUUACUGGGCGUAAAGCGCACGCAGGCGGCACGGCACGUGUGGGGUGAAAGCUCCGGGCUUAACCCGGAGUCGCCCUCGCAUACGGCCGCGCUCGAGCCGUUCAGAGGUCAGUGGAAUUGCCGGUGUAGGAGUGAAAUCCGUAGAGACCGGCAGGAACACCCAGGGGGAAGCCAGCUGACUGGGAACGUGCUGACGCUCAGGUGCGACAGCGUGGGGAGCGAACCGG
This 253-nucleotide ribosomal RNA is filed under the name uncultured bacterium. Its description in RNAcentral is "partial 16S ribosomal RNA". It matches the Rfam family "Bacterial small subunit ribosomal RNA", at positions 524 to 776 of the family's 1533-position model. The record is from RNAcentral.